GUCACUGAACCAGCACCGCAGAACUCCAUCACCAGCUAUGGUCCCGAGUCCAAGGAAACAAUGAGGAAGAAAAAUAUCUGUCAGGCAAGGCCUCUGCCCCCAACCAGACUCCUGUUGGGGACCAGACUGGUGUGAGUCAGACAGCAGGGGCUAGAUGAUGCCACAGGUCACAGAGAAGGCGCAGACUUGGAGAAGAACUGGUAGUAUUUUCCCUAGAAUCCCAAAUGGCUUAGAACUUCUGCUUUAGAGCAGAGGCUGGCAAGUACAGGUGCCGAAGAAUGUUGUUUUGUUUGUGGGUUUUUUGCUUUUUAAAAAGUUUUUGGUUUUGUUUUGAGAUAGGUUCUCACCAUAUAGCUCUAACUGGAACUCAUUAUAUAGACAAGGCUGGCCCUUAACUCAAGAGACACAUCUGCUGCCGGGCGGUGGUGGUGCACACCUUUAAUCCCAGCACUCAGGAGGCAGAAGCAGGCAGAUUUCUAAGUUCGAGGCCAGCCUGGUCUACAGAGUGAGUUCCAGGACAGCCAGGGCUACACAGAGAAACCCUGUCUCGAAAAAAACAAAAAAAUCCAAAGAGAGAGAGGGGGGUACAUCUGUCUCUUCCUCUGCCUCCCAAGUGCUGGGAUUGAAGGUGUACGCCAGCACCAUCCAGCUCCUGUAAAUUACUUUUGCGUAUGCAUGGGGUGCUAGGGAGUGCAUUCAAGGCACUAACUAGGCGAGCACCUGACAGUGAGCUACACUCAGAUCAACAAGCAGGCUUCCCAUCACUGGGUACAAACAUCUACUGCCAAGAUCAGCCAUUUGUGUGUUCUUAGUAUCCAAGCUCAUGUCCCCAGUCUUGAAAGGCAACUGAGCUAUCUCCUCAGUCUGUGUCCACUAUGUUUAAUGAUUAGGGGGAAAAAAACCAAAAGAAUACUAUUUCAUGACAAAUGAGAAUAAUUGGAAAUUUUAAUAACCUAAAUAUAAAUUUGAGAUUCAGGCACAGUCAUUUUCAGGUCUGUUUGAGUGAGAGUCUUUCCACAGAGUAGCCUUAAACACAUGCUCCCCCCGCCCCCAGCCUCCUGAGUGGCAGGACUAGGUGUGAGCCUCGCUGCUUGGCUAGCCAUGGUUAGCUGUUCAUGUGUUUCUAUUGCUUUCAGGGUGUGAGCAAGAGUGAGUAGUGAUCAGCAAAUGUGACCAUGUGACUGAAGCGCUUACUAUUUGGACCUUCCCAGAAAAAGCUCAACAUCUUUGCCUCAGAUAAGGAGGGGGGUGCUCAGGGUCCCACGCAGUACGCUGCUGAGGGAGUCCGGGAGUGCCUUCCGACUGUUUCACUAAAGUUGACAUCUACUGUAGGAAAGGGCUGGUUGGGACUGGUUAUAUUUGCGAUGUAAUUAAAGUAACUGCCGUGUGUCCACCACUGGACACCAGAAUGCAGUGGGUGGAGUAGAGGCCCAGGUCCCCACAGCUAACAAGAGCGUGCUUGGCCACCAUUGCUUACCUCCCAGUCCUCAGUGUGGCUCCUACUAUACACAAUUUGGUGUGUGAUAUGUGUCCCCCAAAAUCAUUGGGGCCACUGAGGCUGCAAACAUCUCUCAUGCUCAUCUUUGCAGGGUAUUCAGAAGAUGCUUACUGACCAUCUUAAGUCUAGUGUGCUUCCAGGGGGUGAGGCCAGGCAUGUUGUCCCGAUAGCCACAAUGGUGCCCCUAACAGCUCUUCCCUCAAGUAUGGGCCCAGCACCACAAUGGGUGAAGCUGGAAACUCAGUAGCACUGAUGUCUAAGCUAGGGAGGGAAGGACUUGUGGGUAUUGAGGUUCAGGAGGUAUCUGGGUAGGCUUUGGUUCAAACCAUCACCCAAAAGGGCUGUGUACUGCCAGGAAGGGUCUGAGUCCUGUUGUUUCCCACAGAUACCUUCAUUCUAUGGCUUUCCCAAUAUUGUAUUCAAAGGCACAAGAACUUACAGACUAAGCCUCCUCCACCCUCAUCCCCGUCUUCUGGCCAUGGUCAAGAUUCUUACUGCUUACUGAUUAAGAAGUGCUUGCCAACUAGCGAGGGAAUGGAGGAGUCAAACACUAGGAUCACGAGACACACUGAGGACAAGACACUGGGCAAACAGGGAGGUGAGGCCUGUGCUCCCACAGACCCUUUCUGGACGCCAGCCCAUCCUUCCCAGCUCCACUUCCUACCUCUGUGACAUCCAUGACCUUAAUGGCAGCCAGCUGCCCAGUCUUGACGUGCCGCCCCUGCAAGACAGUCCAGUAUGGAGGGUGUGGAGGGCUCCGGGUACAGGGUCACUUCGUAAACUAAAGAAGAGGGACUGAUCCUGGGAAAAGCCA
Molecule: long non-coding RNA, 2312 nt
Organism: Apodemus sylvaticus (European woodmouse)
Lineage: Eukaryota; Metazoa; Chordata; Mammalia; Rodentia; Muridae
Exons: 2
Source: RefSeq, a predicted model, not a curated record